ACAUUUACUGUUAUUUUUGCAAGUGAUUAUAUUUUCGUUAACUAAUUAAAGAGUCUAUUCACAAGGAAGGGUAUGUUUUUUAUAUCAUAGAAAAUAAGAAUGUAGCAUUAGUUAUUGGAAGAAGUAAAACAUAUUUCCUGAAACAUAAAAGAAGGUGGUGGGAAACAUGCAAAUCAUUUAUCGCUCGAGAAUGGACUCCAGGCUAGGUGGAGUCCAAAUAUAUUUUUGUCGACAAAAUAAAACACGGGGAAAAAACAAAGAAAGAAAAAUCAUACGAAGAAAAUUAGUCUAAAGGCAAAUUGCUGGUCACUUUAAACCCUAGUUCAGGCAUUCCGAAAAACAAAAUUUUAAAAUUCAAGUCAUG
RNAcentral lists this long non-coding RNA (364 nucleotides) under Erythranthe guttata (spotted monkey flower). RNAcentral describes it as "long non-coding RNA (EGUT_LNC003738)". Lineage: Eukaryota; Viridiplantae; Streptophyta; Magnoliopsida; Lamiales; Phrymaceae. The record is from RNAcentral.